Molecule: ribosomal RNA, 497 nt
Filed under: uncultured bacterium
Lineage: Bacteria
Description: partial 16S ribosomal RNA
Rfam family: Bacterial small subunit ribosomal RNA
Source: RNAcentral
GGGGGGGGGGGGGGGGGGGGGGGGGGGUGGGGGGGGGGGGGGGGGGGCGGGGGGCGGGGCGCUCGGGUGGUAGCGGCGUGCGGGGUCUUGCCCCGUGGCUCACCUCCCUCUCGGACUGGGGGGACUUCGGGAGACCGGAGCUCAUACCUGCUCACCUGUUGUACCGCGUGGUUCCACAGUGACGGCCGUUCUUGCUGUCACUUAUAGCUUGAUCCGCGCCGCAUUAGCCAGUUGGUAAGGUAACGGCUUACCAAGGCAACGAUGCGUAGACGACCUGAGAGGGUGAUCGGCCACACUGGAACUGAGACACGGUCCAGACUCCUACGGGAGGCAGCAGUAGGGAAUCUUCCGCAAUGGGCGAAAGCCUGACGGAGCAACGCCGCGUGAGUGAAGAAGGUCUUCGGAUCGUAAAACUCUGUUAUUAGGGAAGAACAAAUGUGUAAGUAACUAUGCACGUCUUGACGGUACCUAAUCAGAAAGCCACGGCUAACUACGUG